This 460-nucleotide ribosomal RNA is filed under the name uncultured bacterium. Its description in RNAcentral is "partial 16S ribosomal RNA". It matches the Rfam family "Bacterial small subunit ribosomal RNA", at positions 338 to 795 of the family's 1533-position model. The record is from RNAcentral.
CCUACGGGAGGCAGCAGUGAGGAAUAUUGGUCAAUGGACGUAAGGCUGAACCAGCCAAGUCGCGUGAAGGAAGACUGCCCUAUGAGUUGUAAACCUCUUUUGUACGGGGGUAAACCUGACUACGUGUAGCCGGCUGAAGGUACCGUACGAAUAAGGAUCGGCUAAAGCCGUGCCAGCAGCCGCGGUAAUACGGAGGGUUCAAGCGUUAUGCGGAUUUAUUGGGUUUAAAGGGUGCGUAGGCGGGUUUGUAAGGUCGGGGUGAAAUUUGCGGGCUUAACCCGGGCACUGCCGCUGAAACUGGUGACCUAGAGAGGGGGUGAGGUAGGCGGAAUGGGUGGUGUAGCGGUGAAAUGCUUAGAGAUCACGCAGAACACCGAUUGCGAAGGCAGCUUGCCGAUGUAUAACUGACGUUGAAGCACGAAAGCGUGGGGAUCGAACAGGAUUAGAUACCCGAGUAGUC